UAUCAAACAGUUGUCUGAAAUUUGGCACUUAAGGAAUCGUCACCAGUUGCAUUGAUAUUGUGACAUUUCUAAGUGUCUAUUAUCAGAGAUUGGUUAUCAUCU
Molecule: microRNA precursor, 102 nt
Filed under: Schmidtea mediterranea
Lineage: Eukaryota; Metazoa; Platyhelminthes; Tricladida; Dugesiidae
Description: microRNA sme-mir-96b precursor
Gene: sme-mir-96b
Source: miRBase by way of RNAcentral